CAGCCGCCGCGGGAAUACGAAGGGUGCAAGCGUUAAUCGGAAUUACUGGGCGUAAAGCGUGCGUAGGCGGUGAGUUAAGUCUGCUGUGAAAUCCCCGGGCUCAACCUGGGAAUGGCAGUGGAUACUGGCUCGCUAGAGUGUGUCAGAGGAUGGUGGAAUUCCCGGUGUAGCGGUGAAAUGCGUCGAGAUCGGGAGGAACAUCAGUGGCGAAGGCGGCCAUCUGGGACAACACUGACGCUGAGGCACGAAAGCGUGGGGAGCAAACAGGAUUAGAUACCCGAGUAGUCCCUGUCUCUUAUAA
This 301-nucleotide ribosomal RNA is filed under the name uncultured bacterium. RNAcentral describes it as "partial 16S ribosomal RNA". It matches the Rfam family "Bacterial small subunit ribosomal RNA", at positions 509 to 809 of the family's 1533-position model. The record is from RNAcentral.